GAUGAACGCUGGCGGCGUGCCUAAUACAUGCCAGUCGAGCGAACAGACGAGGAGCUUGCUCCUCUGACGUUAGCGGCGGACGGGUGAGUAACACGUGGAUAACCUACCUAUAAGACUGGGAUAACUUCGGGAAACCGGAGCUAAUACCGGAUGAUAUUUUGAACCGCAUGGUUCAAAAGUGAAAGACGGUCUUGCUGUCACUUAUAGAUGGAUCCGCGCCGCAUUAGCUAGUUGGUAAGGUAACGGUUUACCAAGGCAACGAUGCGUAGCCGACCUGAGAGGGUGAUCGGCCACACUGGAACUGAGACACGGUCCAGACUCCUACGGGAGGCAGCAGUAGGGAAUCUUCCGCAAUGGGCGAAAGCCUGACGGAGCAACGCCGCGUGAGUGAUGAAGGUCUUCGGAUCGUAAAACUCUGUUAUUAGGGAAGAACAAAUGUGUAAGUAACUAUGCACGUCUUGACGGUACCUAAUCAGAAAGCCACGGCUAACUACGUG
Molecule: ribosomal RNA, 497 nt
Filed under: uncultured bacterium
Lineage: Bacteria
Description: partial 16S ribosomal RNA
Rfam family: Bacterial small subunit ribosomal RNA
Source: RNAcentral